CGGACGGGUGAGUAAUGUAUGGGGAUCUGCCUGAUGGCGGGGGAUAACUACUGGAAACGGUAGCUAAUACCGCAUAAUGUCUGCGGACCAAAGCGGGGGACCUCCGGGCCUCGCGCCAUCAGAUGAACCCAUAUGGGAUUAGCUAGUAGGUAAGGUAACGGCUUACCUAGGCGACGAUCCCUAGCUGGUCUGAGAGGAUGAUUAGCCACACUGGGACUGAGACACGGCCCAG
This 232-nucleotide ribosomal RNA is filed under the name uncultured bacterium. RNAcentral describes it as "partial 16S ribosomal RNA". It matches the Rfam family "Bacterial small subunit ribosomal RNA", at positions 99 to 334 of the family's 1533-position model. The record is from RNAcentral.